GGGCGUGUAGCGCAGUUGGUAGCGCGUCUGCUUAGCGUGCAGAAGGUCUUGGGUUCAAUUCCCAACUCGUCCA
Ascoidea rubescens DSM 1968 is the source of this 73-nucleotide transfer RNA. It matches the Rfam family "tRNA". From Rfam's summary of the family: Transfer RNA (tRNA) molecules are approximately 80 nucleotides in length. Their secondary structure includes four short double-helical elements and three loops (D, anti-codon, and T loops). Lineage: Eukaryota; Fungi; Ascomycota; Saccharomycetes; Ascoideales; Ascoideaceae. The record is from Rfam.